This 1612-nucleotide ribosomal RNA is filed under the name Enterococcus faecalis. Its description in RNAcentral is "partial 23S ribosomal RNA". It matches the Rfam family "Bacterial large subunit ribosomal RNA", at positions 1 to 1611 of the family's 2925-position model. Lineage: Bacteria; Bacillati; Bacillota; Bacilli; Lactobacillales; Enterococcaceae. The record is from RNAcentral.
GGUUAAGUGAAUAAGGGCGCACGGUGGAUGCCUUGGCACUAGGAGCCGAUGAAGGACGGGACUAACACCGAUAUGCUUUGGGGAGCUGUAAGUAAGCUAUGAUCCAGAGAUUUCCGAAUGGGGGAACCCAAUAUCUUUUAUAGGAUAUUACUUUUCAGUGAAUACAUAGCUGAUUAGAGGUAGACGCAGAGAACUGAAACAUCUUAGUACCUGCAGGAAGAGAAAGAAAAUUCGAUUCCCUGAGUAGCGGCGAGCGAAACGGGAAGAGCCCAAACCAACAAGCUUGCUUGUUGGGGUUGUAGGACUCCAAUAUGGUAGUCUGUUAGUAUAGUUGAAGGAUUUGGAAAAUUCCGCUAAAGAGGGUGAAAGCCCCGUAGACGAAAUGCUGACAACACCUAGGAGGAUCCUGAGUACGGCGGAACACGAGAAAUUCCGUCGGAAUCCGCGGGGACCAUCCCGCAAGGCUAAAUACUCCCUAGUGACCGAUAGUGAACCAGUACCGUGAGGGAAAGGUGAAAAGCACCCCGGAAGGGGAGUGAAAUAGAUCCUGAAACCGUGUGCCUACAACAAGUCAAAGCUCGUUAAUGAGUGAUGGCGUGCCUUUUGUAGAAUGAACCGGCGAGUUACGAUUGCAUGCGAGGUUAAGUCGAAGAGACGGAGCCGCAGCGAAAGCGAGUCUGAAUAGGGCGAAUGAGUAUGUAGUCGUAGACCCGAAACCAUGUGAUCUACCCAUGUCCAGGUUGAAGGUGCGGUAAAACGCACUGGAGGACCGAACCCACGUACGUUGAAAAGUGCGGGGAUGAGGUGUGGGUAGCGGAGAAAUUCCAAACGAACUUGGAGAUAGCUGGUUCUCUCCGAAAUAGCUUUAGGGCUAGCCUCGGAAUUGAGAAUGAUGGAGGUAGAGCACUGUUUGGACUAGGGGCCCAUCUCGGGUUACCGAAUUCAGAUAAACUCCGAAUGCCAUUCAUUUAUAUCCGGGAGUCAGACUGCGAGUGAUAAGAUCCGUAGUCGAAAGGGAAACAGCCCAGACCACCAGCUAAGGUCCCAAAAUAUAUGUUAAGUGGAAAAGGAUGUGGGGUUGCACAGACAACUAGGAUGUUGGCUUAGAAGCAGCCACCAUUUAAAGAGUGCGUAAUAGCUCACUAGUCGAGUGACCCUGCGCCGAAAAUGUACCGGGGCUAAACAUAUUACCGAAGCUGUGGACUACACCAUUAGGUGUAGUGGUAGGAGAGCGUUCUAAGGGCGUUGAAGGUCGAUCGUGAGGACGGCUGGAGCGCUUAGAAGUGAGAAUGCCGGUAUGAGUAGCGAAAGACAGGUGAGAAUCCUGUCCACCGUAUGACUAAGGUUUCCUGGGGAAGGCUCGUCCGCCCAGGGUUAGUCGGGACCUAAGCCGAGGCCGAUAGGCGUAGGCGAUGGACAACAGGUUGAUAUUCCUGUACCAGUUGUUUUUGUUUGAGCAAUGGAGGGACGCAGUAGGCUAAGGAAUGCAUGCGAUUGGAAGUGCAUGUCCAAGCAAUGAGUCUUGAGUAGAGUUAAAUGCUUUACUCUCUAAGGACAAGUUGUGACGGGGAGCGAAAUAAUAGUAGCGAAGUUCCUGAUGUCACACUGCCAA